GAUGUAAUAGAAUUCUGGACACAUGCUGACUCAGUGGCGCUCCUCAAUGCAGGACGUGGGAGUGGGGAGGGACGCACACUCUGUAAACAGGAAUAGGUGCAACACCGGUCACUGAGCUGGCAAGCUAAAGUUAGCUAGUUAGUCACAGAAAUGUACGUUCAGCCUGUUAAUUAUUUCAGUCCGAUUUGGCUUAUUUUACAAAGUCAGCAUGGUUUCUUUCGUUUUUGACCUCGAUAUUGUUGCUGGAUAGAUACUGUCAUAGCUAACAUACUGGCGCUGCUAGCUAGCUAAUGCUAACGUCGCUAGCUAACCUCAUAUCUGGAUGCAUCACUCAAGUUCCGGAGAGAGCAGCAUACUGGUGGUGUCUUACAGAGGAGUGUCAGUUUUGAUUGAAGAGAGGUGUGACAUAGACCCCAGAAGUCUGCAGACUACAGGGGAGGAAGAUGUGGCUGAGAAACAUCAGGCGUAGGGAUAUCAGUCUGCAGAAGUCCUUUGAGGACCUGAAGAAAGGGGGUUACGCUGUGUGCGAGGAGCACUUUGAAGAGUUAUAUUCUGAUUAUUAUCUUUGUCUAAAAAAAUAAUAAUCAGUCAUGAUAUUUUCUGGUAAAAAUGUCUUUCAACAGGGUUCACGGAAGACACUGUCUUCUGAGGCAGUACCUACCAGAAGACAUUACAUGAAUCCACCCCCUCAAUCUGCAACAAAUGCACGGCGUAGUGGAAAAAGUAAGCCAACCACAAAGUUCAUAGCAAUUAAAGAUGCAUCGUUAUUGUUUUAUAUCACAGGUUUAAAGUCUUGAAUUGUCUAUUUUUGAAGGAGGACAGGGACGCAGAUGCAGGAGUUUUAGGCGAGAAAGACAGAGAACAAGAGAGCGUAGACCCAGCAGAGGAAGCAGCAGAUGCUGAAUUUAGUUCAGGUGGUCUGCAGGAAGUGGUUUACCAGGUGACAGAGGUGGCAGGAGGCUUCCUCACAAGCAUACAGGAGGUAGUCUGUCAGGUGACAGGUGGCGGAAGGAGUCGUCCUCACGAGCAUAGAGGAAGCUCAGGUGUCAAAGGAAGCCGCAUGUAGCACAGGUGUCAUGCAGGAGGAGGCCAUCAUCCAAUUGAAGGAGGUCUAUAGUAUAAUAAUAAUACACCCACAGUGAUUAAUUGCACACACAUUGAAAGAAAAAUAUCACAAAGUUAAUCUCAUACAGAUGUUACUUUAAGAGAAUACAACUACUAGAAAAGAAGCUGUCAAUCACAAAAAAACAACAGCAAAUGCAAAGUAGGCAUGCUGCAAGACCGAAAGCCACCAAAACCAAGUACAUAGUCAUCUUAUAGAUUGGAAUAACAAAAAAUGGAGGACAUAGUUGACAAAAACCCUUAGCAGUCUCUGGGCAAAAAUUGGCAUUGUGUAAGAGUCCUCUUACUUAGAUCUAGUGCCUUUGAUUUCAUCCUGGAAGGCCAUGUCGAGCAUGCCUACGCCUCAUAGAAAAAAUUAUAAAGAAAUGCACCAUGUGUAGAAUGAGAGCGCAGCUUAGAAAAAAACAUGGUGAAUUUAACAAACCAAAAACCAUAGUGCAGUGAAAAUUGAAGUGUUUCACCGGAUAGCACUUUUCUUUUGGUGCCUGGACUCCCCCGUCUCACUAUCCUGGUGAAGAGAACAAAAACAAACAGAGAAAAGGGGAGUCAUCCAUUCCCUUUAUCCCAGGGAUGUAUCAUCAACUAGAUUCAGCAGCAUGCCAAUUUUUCUUGAGCAGAUGGUUGGGGGCCGGAAUAUAAUUUGUAGACUGCAAAUUGACUGGAAUAAGCCUUGCUUACAAUUGUAUAUGAUCAGGUGUCUCUAUUAUGCAUGGGAAUACAUUUAAUAGAUUCUUAAAUACAAAUCACUUGGAGCUGAUUUCCUGGUGUUUUUCCAGUCUUAUGUACAACAAUAAAAAAUAUAUAUAUUUUAAAUUGCCUCAAUUUUGGGGGCUAAAUAUAACCACCCGUGUGUCAAAUUUGGCCCGCGAGUUGGGGGGACAGUGCUUUGUCCUCACUGUCACUCAGAAACCAAUUCCAAUGUCCGCCUGGUAAUGGUUCUGUUCAAAACAAAACGAUUGUAAAAUAAUUUUGGUUCCAACACCUGGUUCUAGCUCUUUUGAAGUGUAACAAUGCAGUACUGUAGAGAGUACAUUAAUUCAUACAAACACUGUUCAUCCUUGCUCAAUCAUGUUCUAGCAGUUUCUAGCUCUUCGAGUAAACAAAUAACUUACGUUCUGUUCACUCUGAUGUGCGGUCCUGAAUGAUUAGCUAGUUAAACUAGCUAGUUACUCUAUUUUUCUGACAUGUGCAGAAUCGGAUUAAUUGCGCUACAGUAACGUUAGCUAGCUAACUUUAGCGGAGAAAUAUAUCAUAUUGUAUAUAUCAAGCUAGCUACUAUUUCUCUCUUCUUGCCGCCAUGUGAAAUUAUUGAAUGUAUUGUAAUGACCUGACUAGAUCAUAAAUGAACAAUUGUCCAGACAGAGGCUUG
Molecule: long non-coding RNA, 2491 nt
Organism: Salvelinus sp. IW2-2015
Lineage: Eukaryota; Metazoa; Chordata; Actinopteri; Salmoniformes; Salmonidae
Source: RefSeq, a predicted model, not a curated record